Molecule: ribosomal RNA, 131 nt
Filed under: Salvator merianae (Argentine black and white tegu)
Lineage: Eukaryota; Metazoa; Chordata; Lepidosauria; Squamata; Teiidae
Source: RNAcentral
GUUUACCUCUAUCCCUGCUUAGCAUCUUGGCUGCCCCCUGCUGAUUCUGUUUGAGAUUGGGAGAUAAGCAGGGCUGGACCAGUUUAGCACUUGGAUAGGAUACCACCAGGGAAUACCUGGUGCUGUCAGCU